CCGCCGGUUUUACGUUGUUGCAGUUAAAAGCUCGUAGUUGAUUUUAGGCCCGGUUGGACGGUCUGCCUUUGGGUUUGUACUGUCCUGACUGGGCCUUACCUUCUGGUGAGCUGUCGUGUUGUUUACUCAGCGCGGCAGGGAACCAGGACUUUUACUUUGAAAAAAUUAGAGUGUUUAAAGCAGGCAUUCGCUUGAAUACAUUAGCAUGGAAUAAUAGAAUAGGACUUUGGUUCUAUUUUGUUGGUUUCUAGGACCGAAGUAAUGAUUAAUAGGGAUAGUUGGGGGCAUUAGUAUUUAAUUGUCAGAGGUGAAAUUCUUGGAUUUAUGAAAGACUAACUUCUGCGAAAGCAUUUGCCAAGGAUGUUUUCAUUAAUCAAGAACGAAAGUUAGGGGAUCGAAGACGAUCAGAUACCGUCGUAGUCUUAACCAUAAACUAUGCCGACUAGGGAUCAGACAAGGAUAUUUUGACUUGUUUGGCACCUUAUGAGAAAUCAAAGUUUUUGGGUUCCGGGGGGGAGUAG
This 521-nucleotide ribosomal RNA is filed under the name uncultured bacterium. Its description in RNAcentral is "SSU rRNA". It matches the Rfam family "Eukaryotic small subunit ribosomal RNA", at positions 591 to 1126 of the family's 1831-position model. The record is from RNAcentral.